AUUGAACGCUGGCGGCAGGCCUAACACAUGCAAGUCGAGCGGAUGAAGGGAGCUUGCUCCUGGAUUCAGCGUCGGACGGGUGAGUAAUGCCUAGGAAUCUGCCCGGUAGUGGGGGAUAACGUCCGGACACGAGCGCUAAUAACGCAUACGACCUGAGGGUGAAACUGGGGGUUCUUCGGACCUCACGCUAUCAGAUGUGCCUAGGUCGGAUUAGCUAGUUGGUGGGGUAAAGGCCUACCAAGGCGACGAUCCGUAACUGGGCUGAGAGGCCGAUCAGUCACACUGGAACUGAGACAGGGUCCAGACUCCUACGGGAGGCAGCAGUGGGGAAUAUUGGACAAUGGGCGAAAGCCUGAUGCAGCCACGCCGCGUGUGUGAAGAAGGUCUUGGGAUUGUAAAGCGCUUUAAGUAGGGAGGAAGGGCCGUAGGGUUAAACGUUGCUAUUGUGACGUUACCAACAGAAAAAGCACCGGCUAACUUCGUG
RNAcentral lists this ribosomal RNA (484 nucleotides) under uncultured bacterium. Its description in RNAcentral is "partial 16S ribosomal RNA". It matches the Rfam family "Bacterial small subunit ribosomal RNA", at positions 30 to 507 of the family's 1533-position model. The record is from RNAcentral.